CCUAUUCGGCCAUCUUGGCUCCUCCCCCCCCAAAAACUUUAAUGAAUGGAGAUGUCAUAUAUUACAUGAUACGUGGAAGUGGGAUAAAGAUCACUUUCAGAAAGGAGUACAUCAAAAAAAUUCCCAUCCAAGGUGUCAAUGUCACUAAAGGAAUAUUCUCUGCUAUUUAAGUGAGAAUUCUUCCACUUCUUUCCAUUUCAUCAGGCAGAGAUUAUUAUACAUUUUGAAGCACAUGUUGGAGCUUGGAAGAAGAAUGAAGGAUAAAUAAGGGUCUUGUGCUAUGGACAAAGCAAAUCAUGGAAGAGAAUCUUACCUUGGGCAGAAUGGUUGUGUUUGUGGAAAGUUUGAAGAGAUUAAACUGAUGAAGCUUCUAUUUAUAGAACUAUUCUGAUUGUUUCUGUUUUCCCCAGGCUACUGGAGGUAAAUACAUAUGCUAUUCAUUGACGAAUAUGUUUUAUUUUUCUGUCAAAAUAUAUGUGAUAGAGUAUCUGCAAAUUUUGCAUAUAUUAAAGCUACAAAGAGAACAAAGGGACAACUUAAAAAGAUGAUAGUGUGUAAGUUGGCAUGGGCUGAGGAAGUUUAUGUGCUAAAAUGAUUAUUUGGCAGCAUAAUUUUGUGAAAGGGGGCAUGACGUAUAUAGGACUUGCAAGACGAAGCUCAAAACUGAAAGGAGCAUAUUCUUGAAAUGGAUCACAGGGAAGGAUUCAAACAAGAGAAUCUCAAUAGAACUAUUACAGCCAAAAGAGGCAAAGAAAAUGAAGAGGCUAGCUGAGCUAAUGCUAACUGAAGGAAUUAAAAUGAAUAAGCAUGCUCAUUUAUAAUUUUAUCAUGGAAAAAUAAAUACAAGUGGGAGAAUGGCCCGUCAAUAAAUGAGGAGGGAGGAGAAAUCAAUGUUAGUUGUAAAAUGUCUGAGCUAUUGAACUGCUGUUUUCAAGUCAGUCUUUAUAAAGAAAUAGGGGUCUGGAUAAUUAGGAAGUAAUUAAGGACCAACCGACUUUCAGGCACUAUUGAUGAUAAAUAAGUAAAUAAUUACCACUUGCAUUAACAAAAUGUGUGCAUAUGUGGAAGAAAUGCAUUCUAUAGAAAUUUCCACGUUUUGAUGGUAAUUAUUGUACUACUUGUUUAAUUAGCCAAUGAGUGGGGGAAAAAUAACCCACCUCCAAACAUGCACAAUUAAAUAGAUGCAAUGAUUUGGCCAGAGGAAAAAGACCAAGGUAUGAGCUUUUCAGGCUGAAAUUAAAAUAAUCUGCUAUCAGCUUAUCUAAACAAAUUAACUAACAAAACACACACAGCAAACAAUGCUAUAGUAAAAUAAUUUAGUCUGGAAUUGCCAGGUGUGGGAUUAGGAACUGUACAAUGCAAAGUAUCUUUCUUAGUUGUCCAGUGAGCCUGGACCACCCAAAAGACUGAUUUUACAAUUUUUAAAAGUGCCACGUAACUGGGAGAUUUACAUCUCUCAGAACUAAAGUUUUAUGGAAAAUUGUAAACUUUCCAGUUUGUGCUACAUAAUGUGGACCUAGGUAUGAGCUGGGUAUAUAGUCUGAAUUGGAUAAACAUGUGUCCUACACUUUUUAAACAUGGAUGAAUUGAUGCAAGAAUGGAGUUCUUUUUUUUGUAAUUCAGAGGUAGUACAGAGUGGUAAAGAACAAAAGAUUUUUAGUCAGACAGACCUAGUUUAGAAUCUUGCCUCAAACUCAUGCAAUGAGCACAUGGGCAAAUGCUUUAACCUUUUUGAGGGAUGGUAAUUAUAUUUACUACAUAUAGUUGUAUGAAGAUAAAGUGAAAUCGUAGAUAUACAGUUCUUGGCACAAAGUAGAUAAUAAAUAAAACUUAUUAUCAUAAUAAUAUGGUAGAGUUAAGUAUAACAUGUGAUAUAAAUGCUUGCUCAAAAGCUAGAGAAUCCAGAAUCUAUUUUUGUUUUAAUUUUGAAUGACAUAGAACUUGUGAGAUUGGUACUUGAUAAAUGGUAGCUAUUAAUGGUAUUUAUUAUUUAGCCCUGUUACCUUAGAAAAAUUAUAGUCUCAUUUGACCUCAUUUUCCACCUACAUUAGGAUUAACCUAUUUUUUUGGCAGCAUUUUUGUAUUCUGAGCAUUAUUGGAGCACGUGGUUCCUGAAGGAAUUUGAGUUUACUUGGAGAGGUAAAACUAAUAUAUAGGAAACAACUGGAGAUAAAAGUGGGUCUAAUUUACCACAAGUACUCCAGGAGUUCAGAGAGCAGAGAGGGUAGGGCAUUGUAGUAACAGAAGGUAUGGCAAGGACAAAGUGGAGUUUACUCUGUGCCUUGAGGAUUAUUUAAGAUUUGUACGGAUGAGGAGAUGAUGAUGAAGAGGCUGGAAUGGUUUUUGGGUGGGAAACCAGCCUAAGCUGGUGUGGAAGUAGAAAUGAAUGCAUCUAGUGAUUACAUCUCUGAAACAUGGGGCAUGUGAUCUGGUAUAAGAUAUGAGGAUUGCAUCAGAAUAUUUGAAAUUGGGCUAUUGGUCCACAUAUGAAGAGAGGUUAAUAGAUGUUGACUAGAAGGGAGUGUUAAAGUUGGAUAAAUAACUGGAGAACAAAGCAGAAAGCUGCUAUUACUUGCAAUAACUGCCUUUCUAUGGGUGUUGUGGCUUUAGAUGAAAUGAGAUAUUUGAAUCCCUAAAGCAGUUUUCUUUUUGUGGGAGCUCUACGACCAUCCAUAGAAAUUUCACUUUUCUUGUCUGAGUCCUCCACUAGUCUAUGAGUCUCUUAAGGUAGGAACCAGGUUUUGUUUAUUUCCAUAUAUGAGCACUUAACACAGUACCUGUCACAUAAUAACAAAUGUGAAAUAUUUGUG
Molecule: long non-coding RNA, 2810 nt
Filed under: Homo sapiens (human)
Lineage: Eukaryota; Metazoa; Chordata; Mammalia; Primates; Hominidae
Description: HSALNT0062938
Source: RNAcentral